Long non-coding RNA from Equus asinus (donkey), 2843 nucleotides. The record is from Ensembl. NCBI's taxonomy places the organism in Eukaryota, Metazoa, Chordata, Mammalia, Perissodactyla, Equidae.
AGGGCGGAAGCGAUGACGUCUUCCCAGCGGCCAGAGGAGAACGGGCAUUUUUAAGAAAUCAUUAUUUGUACAUAAAGAAAUAAAAGGUAAAUCCAACAGCCCAGAGACGCUUGCAUUUCAGUAGAAAUGGACUUUCUCGGGUUAAAAGGUGCUGAAAGAGAUCCCACUCAAUCACUCCUGAAUUUCCAGAAACAUAGGCAUUUGUCCAUGUCAAAAUUAUCCACUCAACGGGCAUCUCUUUGGCUCCACCCUCCAGUUUCAGAGUGUCCAAAUGGCAAAAGGCAGCCAGUUGGAUUGCCAAAUGCUCCUCCUCCACUCCUGGUCCUUCAUGUUCCUCUAAAGAAGACCUCCCAGUUCUCUUCUGCCUUGUUCGUGACCCAAAAGAGGCCUUUUAAUGGAAGUGUUCCUAGCAGAUCACCUCUUGGUCUUCUCCAUCAAUUACUAACUGUGACUCCUGCCGCUCCAUAGUAUAAAUGGCGAUAUUGGGUGAAUAGCUCCGAUACGUUUAUUGAUCUGAAUAUCAGGGUGUUAUCAAAGUCUACUGGAUUGUAUCACAGAUUUAGGGCUCUAAUUUAAUGACAUUUCUGAAAGAGCGAAAUACCCACAUCCCUGUCUCUCCCCGACAACUGGCAAAAACGGGGAACGCAGCUCUGAACACGAUCAAAUCAAGGGUGUCGACUCAGAGUGAGAUCGUACAGCUUCAAAAGUAAUGUCGAUCUGCUCGCAACUUCACGCAAACCCAGCAGAGCCCCCAGCAGGACCCCCACGUACCCGCCUCUCAAUCCGGAGUUCGGGACGGGGGAGCACCCCUACCCGGGUCCUUCCCGCCGGCCGCCCGGAAAGCCCGGAGCGCGGAAGCGGAGCGACCCUCGGCAGCCGGGGGACGGGCAUGCUCAGUAGACCCGCAGGUCUGGUUUCACUCGGAAGCCAGCCGCGGACCCCGCCCCCUCCCGCCCCGCACGGGCGCCCGGAGAAGCGGACAUUUUAACCUUCUCUGCCAUCCGCUCCCUCUUUCGUGUCCUUCGCCCCCUGUCUGAGUCCUUCCACCUCUCGCCCAUCGGGGUCUGGGGACAUUAACUUGAAGAAAAUCAGCUGUUUGCCAAGAAAGGAGGGCUUGGAUGAAAGAGGAUGAAAGGAAGCUUGUCUCACUUGCAGGAGGAGGAAACGCAGGUCAGCAACGGCACCAUUUCACCAGCACCAUCAUCAUCAGUUCUGAUAAAAAAUGUCCCAUAUCCACUACCGACUGCAGUAUAGUCUCCAAGUGGUAGAUUGUGGGUCAUGGACUGGGUCUGGAAGAGGCCUUACUAGAAAACUGAGACUCCAAGAGGCGAGAUGUACACUCAGCUACAGGAGCUGGGAAGGAGCUGCGGGAUCUCCCCAGCACCCCAGGACCCCGGCACAGACCCGGCACAGAGGAGAAGCCGCCAGCCUGCUUUGUGGUCAUGACAUUCUAGUUAUCACUGGAAGACCGAUAAAACUGAGUUUCCAGAUCUGGAAAACUGAGGACCUCAUCCUGGACUGAGAAGGACUGUACAGAUGGAUUUCCCUGGAGGCCCAUCGUGGCGGGCUGCUUCACUCACCCGGCAUAACCAGGCUUCUCAAGGAAUAGGGGCCGCGUUACCUAGGCUUCUGGGCUUGCCUGUAGCUCCUCCAAUUCCUCACUGCUCAGUCCUUACCUCUGCCUUGAACCUCCGUAACAUUGCUAGUAGGACCAGCAGAAUUGGCCUCCCCUGGGAGCUUGUUAGAGAUGCAGAGUCUUGGGCCUCACCCCAGACAUCCUGAAUCAAAAUCUGCAUUUUCAUACGAAGCCCAGGUGAUUCCAAUUCACAUAGGACUUUGAGGAACCCUUGUCUAAAGCACUUGUGACAGUAGUACUAGCAAUUGCUGCUGUAGAAUUUGUUAAGUACAAAUGCUAAGGGACUCGUGUCUACGCAGCACCUACUCUGUCCCAGCACCUUUUUGACUACCAAGUCACAGGGCCCGAGGGUAGGAUCCUUACUUUGCUUAUUGCUCCUUAGUGAUCAGUGUUUGCUGGGCACUGUGCCAGGCACUGGAAAUACAAACGUGAACGAGACAUUGGCCUGAUCACAAUGACUACGAGGUUGCCCAGCAGCACCGUCUGCACACAACAGGUACUCAAUGCGUGUUUCCAAGGUAGCUGAUCCCAGUGGGUUCGUGGGACCCUUAUGCAAGUAGCCUGGAUGUGAGCAGUAGGUGGGGUGGCCUUGCUAUGUGGAGCCCAGCUUGCUACGUGGAAACAGGAAGAAGUAUUAUGUGGCAACCCAGAAACACGGACAUUUGAACCGAAGCUGAUGUUAACAUGAAACAGGCACCAAAUAAGCCAUAUUCUUUGGCCAGUGUGCUCAGGAAGUUGGCAUUCUUUUGUUGUUUAUUUAUUCACCUAAGUCCAAGGGUCUGAAAACUAUGGCCCAUGAGCCAAGUCUGGCUUGCUGCUUGUUUUUGUAAAUAAUGUUUUAUUGGAAAACAGCCAUGCUCAUGCCUUUACACGUUAUUCAAGGCCACUUUCAGCUACAAUGGCAGAGCUCAAUAGUUGCAACAGAGACUGUCCUCAAAGCUGAAAAUAUUUACGAUCUGGCCCUUUAUAGAAAAAGUUUGCUGACCUCUGACCUCGUCUUCCCCUUUAGCUAAAAUAAAAACAUCAUUUUCAAUUGCUUUUAAAAGUGUACAAUAUAAUGUACAUAUAUACUUUUUUUGGUAGGGAAAUUCUACAAUGAUAUAACAAAGUUAUUUUUGAUUCCCUAUGGGGAAUUUGAUUUGGAAGAAUUAGGGAAAUGGAACACUUAAUUUUUCCUUAAUAUUCUUUAAUAUUUUUUGAAUUUUUA